This 432-nucleotide long non-coding RNA is filed under the name Monodelphis domestica (gray short-tailed opossum). RNAcentral's name for it is "lncRNA (ENSMODG00000030184.2)". The record is from RNAcentral. Lineage: Eukaryota; Metazoa; Chordata; Mammalia; Didelphimorphia; Didelphidae.
GCAAAAUUCCCCUCCUCCAAAACUCAGAAGGCACUGACCUCUAGCCUCUUAAGACAAAAGCACUUUUUUUCUAUCUUUCCUUGUCUCUAUCUGUCUGUCUGGUCUCUCUGCCUUCCCAUUAGGGCACCAAGAAGACAUGUUUAUAGGCCUCAUGGGAAGAUCAGCCAACCAAGCCCUCUCUGUGGCCUGGGACGAUAAGGACCAAGUGUCAAAGCUGGAACCUUGACCCUACACUACCAAGAAUGAAAACUCCCCCUGUCCCACAUUCCCUAUCACUUGGAGGUCACACCUGAUGAGGCCUUGGUCUGCCAGUCUCCCAGAACCCCCCAAUACAAUCUCCCACUGGCGUUUGACAUUGGCCAUGCACUGACACCAAACUGAUCAUGUCUUUUUUGAGUAUGUGGUACUCUCCUAUCAGAUUGCUAUGUUAAA